This 39-nucleotide ribosomal RNA is filed under the name Pilobolus sphaerosporus. RNAcentral describes it as "partial 28S ribosomal RNA". Lineage: Eukaryota; Fungi; Mucoromycota; Mucoromycetes; Mucorales; Pilobolaceae. The record is from RNAcentral.
AUCUGAAAUCACGUGGGAUUACCCCCUGAACUCUAGCAU